UCAUAGCUCAGCUGGAUAGAGUACUCGGCUACGAACCGAGCGGUCGGAGGUUCGAAUCCUCCUGA
Molecule: transfer RNA, 65 nt
Filed under: Pseudomonas aeruginosa
Lineage: Bacteria; Pseudomonadati; Pseudomonadota; Gammaproteobacteria; Pseudomonadales; Pseudomonadaceae
Description: tRNA-Arg
Rfam family: tRNA
About the family: Transfer RNA (tRNA) molecules are approximately 80 nucleotides in length. Their secondary structure includes four short double-helical elements and three loops (D, anti-codon, and T loops). Further hydrogen bonds mediate the characteristic L-shaped molecular structure. tRNAs have two regions of fundamental functional importance: the anti-codon, which is responsible for specific mRNA codon recognition, and the 3' end, to which the tRNAs corresponding amino acid is attached (by aminoacyl-tRNA synthetases). tRNAs cope with the degeneracy of the genetic code in two manners: having more than one tRNA (with a specific anti-codon) for a particular amino acid; and 'wobble' base-pairing, i.e. permitting non-standard base-pairing at the 3rd anti-codon position.
Source: RNAcentral